UCUUUAUUUUACCAAAUAUUAUAAACUUUUUUAGUAAAUUAGCAAGAUAUAAUAAACAAAAUAUUUAUAUAUUCAAACAUGCACUUAAAUACUCACUGUUAUAUAUACGUGUAGAACUACUAUACUAUCGAAAGUAUAAAAGAGUUGAUGUUCAGACUUUUUGACUCUUGGAUUAAAAAUUGUAGAGUAGGAAUGAUAAUAGUCCCCCUUAGAGUUGAGUAAUC
This 224-nucleotide long non-coding RNA is filed under the name Ananas comosus (pineapple). Its description in RNAcentral is "long non-coding RNA (ACOM_LNC010952)". Lineage: Eukaryota; Viridiplantae; Streptophyta; Magnoliopsida; Poales; Bromeliaceae. The record is from RNAcentral.